CAGCGUCACGAGUGGCAAUCAGAUUUAUUGGGUCUAAAGCGUCCGUAGCCGGUUUGAUAAGUCUUUUGUGAAAUUGUCGUGCUUAACAUGACAACGUGCAAGAGAUACUGUCAGACUUGGAACUGGGAGGAGUUAGGGGUAUUCCUUGGGGAGCGGUAAAAUGCUAUAAUCCUCGGAGGACCACCUGUGGCGAAAGCGCCUAACUAGAACAGCUUCGACGGUGAGGGACAAAAGCCAGGGGAGCAAACCGGAUUAGAUACCCGAGUAGUCC
This 271-nucleotide ribosomal RNA is filed under the name uncultured archaeon. RNAcentral describes it as "partial 16S ribosomal RNA". It matches the Rfam family "Archaeal small subunit ribosomal RNA", at positions 477 to 747 of the family's 1478-position model. The record is from RNAcentral.